Zingiber officinale is the source of this 420-nucleotide long non-coding RNA. RefSeq lists it as uncharacterized. The transcript is spliced from 2 exons. NCBI's taxonomy places the organism in Eukaryota, Viridiplantae, Streptophyta, Magnoliopsida, Zingiberales, Zingiberaceae. The record is from RefSeq and is a predicted model, not a curated record.
UUUUCAGACCUCCGCCACGUCGCUUCUAUAUAUACCGGCCCCUGAUCGAACGUCCUUCCUCCGCCCGCAACCACCACCUCAGCCUUGCGCGUCUUCUGCAACUAAUGCCGUCGUUUUCAGAUAAUUAAGAGGUAUGCGAUUGUUGAAAGAAGUAAUGGCACCGAAUGAUGAACUGUUACAGAGCUUUGGAAUCAUAUGCACAUGAAGCUUGUCAGUGUUAUUGUGUUUUUUUUUCCUUGUAUAUAAUCCAAAGAUUUGAUUUGGCAUUUCAUGAAGGUUUCUGCUAACUCCAAAAGGUUCAUUCUAAAAUAAUCUACUGUCGAUCAACUGAGUUGAGAUUCUUAACAUGUCAAUUUAGAUGACAAUAAUCUAUAAACUAGUGCAAACUAUCAGAAUUGAAAUCUUUAAUGAUAUUUGAUA